RNAcentral lists this ribosomal RNA (292 nucleotides) under uncultured Alphaproteobacteria bacterium. RNAcentral's name for it is "partial 16S ribosomal RNA". Lineage: Bacteria; Pseudomonadati; Pseudomonadota; Alphaproteobacteria. The record is from RNAcentral.
GGACUACCGGGGUAUCUAAUCCUGUUUGCUCCCCACGCUUUCGCGCCUCAGCGUCAAUCACGGGCCAGAUGGCCGCCUUCGCCACCGGUGUUCUUCCCAAUAUCUACGAAUUUCACCUCUACACUGGGAAUUCCGCCAUCCUCUCCCGCCUUCAAGCGCCGCAGUAUCAUGCGCAGUUCCCAGGUUGAGCCCGGGCCUUUCACGCCUGACUUGCAGCACAGCCUACGCGCCCUUUACGCCCAGUAAUUCCGAACAACGCUAGCCCCCUUCGUAUUACCGCGGCUGCUGGCAC